GUCGUCGCAGUUGGCAGCACUCGCAGUUUCAGUGGUAGUAAUUGUUGUGUUCGUAAUGCUUAGGUCCACAGUGGCGUUGUUAGCGGUGGCUGUGGUGGUGGUGAGAGCAGCAGUGGCUGUGGCGGUGGUGGUGGUGAUACUAGCAGCGUUAGCGGUGGUGGUGAUGGUGGGACUGGCAGCGCUCGCUGUGGUGGUGGGAGGGGCAGGGUUCAAGGUGGCGGUGGUGGUGGGAGGGGCAGGGUUCAAGGUGGCGGUGGUGGUGGGAGGGGCAGGGUUCACGGUGGUGGUGGUGGUGGUGGUGUUGAUAUUAUUGAUGUUAUUUUUAGGUCCUUUAAAAGCUUUCCUUGUAUAAACUUUACUCUCACUAUACCUCUGUUUCUCUCUUGUAGCUGCUCCAUCAUUAUUAUUUACACCUCCUUCGCCAACUAUAGUCCCCGAAGCCAU
RNAcentral lists this long non-coding RNA (444 nucleotides) under Ricinus communis (castor bean). RNAcentral's name for it is "long non-coding RNA (RCOM_LNC001857)". The record is from RNAcentral. Lineage: Eukaryota; Viridiplantae; Streptophyta; Magnoliopsida; Malpighiales; Euphorbiaceae.